AAUAAUAAUAAUAUCAGAGAUCCAAAACAUAAUAAAAAUAUUAAUCAAAAUACACUCCAAAAAUAAGAACUAAACAAGUGUCCCACUUCCAUCAUGAGAAGGAUGAUAAUACAGGAAAAAGUUGAUCAAUUCAAAGUUUGUUUAUAUUUUCCACCACCUGGUUUACAACUCCACAACUUUAAUUACCAGUACUGUAUCACUUUCCUGCAAAUUAUUCAAACUUUUUAGUAAAUCAGGAUAUGACCAAUAAGUAGUGGUGCACUUUUAAGACUGGUUAAAAGCUCGAACAAGCCGAGCCUGAAAUACAACUCGUUUAGUUAUCGAUGAUUAUAACCCAAUCCUAAAAUACAACUCGUUUAGUAAACAUAAAACAAAAAUUAACGUACUCUCACUGUGUCUCGUUUUAGUCAUUGUACAUUUGAAAUAUUAAAAUAUUGUUCUUGUCUGGUUGCGGUUAUCUUAUGAUGACCCCAACCGGACAAGAAUUUCUACAACAUAUUCACAUUUGUACAUUUGUAUUUAAUAAAAUAAAAACUAUUUUUUAUAAUUUAUACCGUAGCCCAUAUCAACCCAUUCACAGAUAAAAAGUUCAACGGAUAAAAGUAUGAUGGGGGUGGAGACGUACAAGAGCAAAUUAAAAACCCUGUUCGAGGAGAUAGUCACCGAGCCGUUCAACAAUCAUGUUGCAUUGGCCUGGAGUCAUGGGUUCAUCAUAAAUACCAAUGAUCAAGGACAUUGUUGUCUUUUUAAUAGUAGCACCUCCUGGUCCCUGAAGUUGACAAGAAUAUAACCAGUUAUAAUAUAUAACGCCGCUAAUAGCGGAACCGCUAUAGGCCACCGCUAUUUGGACCGCUACACACCCAGAGGUCCGCUAACCGCUAUAGCACCGCUAUUGACUGCUUAGCAGGUCAGACAUGAAACGAUAAGACAUGACACGACACGAUCAGGGACGGAUCUAGGCCACUUUUGUGGGUUCCCAGGAACCCAUUCGGUUUGGAAAAAAUUAGUGAGAACCUUGUAUGAUUAGGAAAAAAAUAGUGAGAAUUAGUGAGAAUCUAACAAAAGAAACCCAGUGAAAAAAGUUCUUAGAUCCGCCACUGGACACGAUGACCUGAGAUGCUAGACAUGAACACGAACACAAUAACUUAUCGUGUCAUCUUUCCAGACGAAACGAACACGGCCUGUUUAGAAACAUGUCAACAUGAAACAACCUGUUAACAAACUUGUUUAGGGACACGCAAAAUAUCACACAUUUCGGAACCUGAUUAGUGAAACAAAAAUUGCCAAAAGUUUAUAAAAGUCUUAACUAAUACAUAAUCCUUAACAUAUUAAUCCUUAGCAAAUUUAAAAUAAAAAUCCAUAAAAGCCAAAUCAUAACAUCCAUACAGAUAUAAAAAGGUCGCAAACAGAUCGCUAACAAGUUAACAGGUCUUUAACAUGUUUAGACAUGAAUUUUAUCUUGUUCUAAACGUGUUGACCUGUUUAAGACACGAAACCUGUUAAGCCCAAACACGAAACUUAUUAAAAAUGUGUCGUGUUAACAGGCCCGUGUCUGAAAUUGCCAGCCCUAAUGUAUGUAUUUAUGUAUAGAUAUGUGUAUGUAUACAUAUAUGUAUGCAUGUAUGUAGAGUAUUAUUAAAAUGUUAAGAUUUCAAAAGAAUAUAUCACACGUGCACGCACAUAUACAUAUACACACACACAAUUAGCCCAAAUAGUUAUGCACUUGCGUAUCGGCAUAUACCCAUUGGAUAUUAUAAAAUAAAAAAAAUAGAUUCGUCACCUUUUUCCCUCUAAUCACAGCCCCAGCCUCGCCUUGAAUAACCAUAUACUUGGUACCACCAAGGUAUAAACCGGUUGGUGCAAGAGAACCAGGUUCAUUGAAGUCAUUCAUGAUAGCAGUUAUUUCCUCUGGCUUGACCUGCAUUGGACCUGAGGGAAGGUGGCUGAUUGGGCCCAAACGACGCCGUCGUGACCGAUAAUCGCGGCGGCAGUGAGGUGAUUUCCUUCGAUCUCGCACAUCAAGUGGUCAUCCACGUACGCUUGCCACGACAUCGUGUUCCGAUUGAGUAGAAAGAAUGAAAGAAACGGUACAAGU
RNAcentral lists this long non-coding RNA (2095 nucleotides) under Helianthus annuus (common sunflower). RNAcentral's name for it is "hypothetical non coding rna". The record is from RNAcentral. Lineage: Eukaryota; Viridiplantae; Streptophyta; Magnoliopsida; Asterales; Asteraceae.